AUUGAACGCUGGCGGCAGGCCUAACACAUGCAAGUCGAGCGGAUGAAGGGAGCUUGCUCCUGGAUUCAGCGGCGGACGGGUGAGUAAUGCCUAGGAAUCUGCCUGGUAGUGGGGGAUAACGUCCGGAAACGGGCGCUAAUACCGCAUACGUCCUGAGGGAGAAAGUGGGGGAUCUUCGGACCUCACGCUAUCAGAUGAGCCUAGGUCGGAUUAGCUAGUUGGUGGCGUAAAGGCCUACCAAGGCGACGAUCCGUAACUGGUCUGAGAGGAUGAUCAGUCACACUGGAACUGAGACACGGUCCAGACUCCUACGGGAGGCAGCAGUGGGGAAUAUUGGACAAUGGGCGAAAGCCUGAUCCAGCCAUGCCGCGUGGGUGAAGAAGGUCUUCGGAUUGUAAAGCACUUUAAGUUGGGAGGAAGGGCAGUAAGUUAAUACCUUGCUGUUUUGACGUUACCAACAGAAUAAGCACCGGCUAACUUCGU
RNAcentral lists this ribosomal RNA (483 nucleotides) under uncultured bacterium. Its description in RNAcentral is "partial 16S ribosomal RNA". It matches the Rfam family "Bacterial small subunit ribosomal RNA", at positions 30 to 506 of the family's 1533-position model. The record is from RNAcentral.